GAUCUUAAGGUGUGUGUGCAUGUGCGAUUGCAAGUCGUGAGGGAUUGAAGAAAGUUCAGUUGAGAUUU
RNAcentral lists this transfer RNA (68 nucleotides) under Otophryne sp. AF3571. RNAcentral describes it as "tRNA-Cys". Lineage: Eukaryota; Metazoa; Chordata; Amphibia; Anura; Microhylidae. The record is from RNAcentral.